CCUACGGGAGGCUGCAGUGGGGAAUUUUGGACAAUGGGGGCAACCCUGAUCCAGCCAUUCCGCGUGAGUGAAGAAGGCCUUCGGGUUGUAAAGCUCUUUCGGCCGGGAAGAAAUCGCAUCUCCUAAUACGGGGUGUGGAUGACGGUACCGGAAGAAGAAGCACCGGCUAACUACGUGCCAGCAGCCGCGGUAAUACGUAGGGUGCGCGCGUUAUUCGGAAUUACUGGGCGUAACGCUAAGGCAGAUGGCAAAUCCCCGGGCGUAACCUGGGAACUGCGUGUGUGACUGGUGGGCUUGAGUGCGGCAGAGGGAGGUGGAAUUCCACGUGUAGCAGUGAAAUGCGUAGAGAUGUGGAGGAACACCGAUGGCGAAGGCAGCCCCCUGGGUCGAAACUGACGCUCAUGCACGAAAGCGUGGGGAGCAAACAGGAUUAGAUACCCUUGUAGUA
Molecule: ribosomal RNA, 448 nt
Filed under: uncultured bacterium
Lineage: Bacteria
Description: partial 16S ribosomal RNA
Rfam family: Bacterial small subunit ribosomal RNA
Source: RNAcentral